RNAcentral lists this ribosomal RNA (572 nucleotides) under uncultured bacterium. RNAcentral's name for it is "partial 16S ribosomal RNA". It matches the Rfam family "Bacterial small subunit ribosomal RNA", at positions 355 to 919 of the family's 1533-position model. The record is from RNAcentral.
UGGGGAAUUUUGGACAAUGGGCGAAAGCCUGAUCCAGCAAUGCCGCGUGUGUGAAGAAGGCCUUCGGGUUGUAAAGCACUUUUGUCCGGAAAGAAAUCCUUGGCUCUAAUACAGUCGGGGGAUGACGGUACCGGAAGAAUAAGCACCGGCUAACUACGUGCCAGCAGCCGCGGUAAUACGUAGGGUGCAAGCGUUAAUCGGAAUUACUGGGCGUAAAGCGUGCGCAGGCGGUUUGCUAAGACCGAUGUGAAAUCCCCGGGCUCAACCUGGGAACUGCAUUGGUGACUGGCAGGCUAGAGUAUGGCAGAGGGGGGUAGAAUUCCACGUGUAGCAGUGAAAUGCGUAGAGAUGUGGAGGAAUACCGAUGGCGAAGGCAGCCCCCUGGGCCAAUACUGACGCUCAUGCACGAAAGCGUGGGGAGCAAACAGGAUUAGAUACCCUGGUAGUCCACGCCCUAAACGAUGUCAACUAGUUGUUGGGGAUUCAUUUCCUUAGUAACGUAGCUAACGCGUGAAGUUGACCGCCUGGGGGAGUACGGUCGCAAGAUUAAAACUCAAAGGAAUUGACGGGGU